GGGUUUCCAUCCAUGGAGCUUCAUCUGAUCAAAGACACACAAAGCUUCAUGGAUCCUUCUCUCGGUGCAGAGGCCAGUGAGCAAUGUACUGUAAGUUUUCAUGUUGGGUUUCUCUCUCUUUCCUCCCUUUGCUUUCUCUCUCUUCCCAUCCAUUGUUUCAAGAACUUCCAUGGCCUCUAGUGACCUUCCAGCUUUGCAGAGGCCAUUGAUCAGAGAGGUGUAAGUUAUGACAUUGGGCUCGAUUCCAUUAACCACCAUUUCUUCGAGCAAUUUCAUGGCUGUCUCCAAAUCUCCAACUUUGCAGAACCCAUAAAUCAUUGUACUGUAAGUGAUCACAGUAGGCGAACAUUUCUUCGAAAUCAUCUCCUCCAUUAAAGGUUUGGCCUCUGAAACUCUACCCAAUUUGCAAAGCCCAUCGAUCAGUGUUCCAUAAGUGUAAGAAUCAGGAGUAAACCCAAAUUCCAGUUCCAUUUUCUUGAAAACUCUAAACGCCGAAUCAAUGGUUUUUUGUGAUUUGCAGAGGGCCUUCAGCAAUAUAUUGAGGGAAACCAGAGAGAGGGGGAUACCCAUUUCUUUCAUUUGAAAGAAGAACUUGUG
This 597-nucleotide long non-coding RNA is filed under the name Amborella trichopoda. RNAcentral describes it as "long non-coding RNA (ATRI_LNC000223)". Lineage: Eukaryota; Viridiplantae; Streptophyta; Magnoliopsida; Amborellales; Amborellaceae. The record is from RNAcentral.